This 462-nucleotide long non-coding RNA is filed under the name Felis catus (domestic cat). RNAcentral describes it as "lncRNA (ENSFCAG00000047118.1)". Lineage: Eukaryota; Metazoa; Chordata; Mammalia; Carnivora; Felidae. The record is from RNAcentral.
AUGGAAGGAGCGCGGAGCGUCGGCGCCGAGGGGCGGGGGAUUGCGGAGGAGGUGGCUCUCACGAUCAGUCCUCCGCCCGCGGCUCCGGAUGAGGAUUUGGCCGGAGUCGGCCCCGGAGUGGGGAGUCGCCCUCCAGCCCAGAUGUGAGACAAUCCACAGUGCCCAUUAAAGAUCUGAUAACCCUGAAACUAAGCCCCGUGGCAAUGAAGCACAGCCAGGCGUAAACUUGAUGACUUGACUUGAUGACUCGGGCGUAAACUCAAGAAUGGAAGAGGAAAGGAAGAGAAGAAAAAAGAAAAGCCAAUGACCUCACCUUAUGGGAGCUGCUGCUAUACCUUGUUGAUACCCACUACGAGCCCUUCAUCUUACCGUCCUGAUGCGCUCAGGAUUAUUUCAUGUAGGUCGCUCUUAUCUCUAAUCAGAUGUGUGGACAUGUGUCUGGAACAUUUUCCUUGCACUUAA